AAUGAUCUGUGAAUGUGGCUUUUGUCUAAUGGACACAAUGCAUGCUGGAAACAUGUGUUCCCUUUCAAAGGUGGGAGAGGAAGGAUGACUCAGAGGUGGGGCCCAGAGCCCCAGAGGCUGACUCGCAGGCCCUGAGGCCAAUGGAGGACCUCCUGCUGGUGUUUGCCUGGUGGAUUUCAAAACUGCUUUCAACUGCUGGACGUGGACCCGAGGGCGGGAGCUGCGCUGGAGAUAGAAGCCAGCUGAUGAAGACGGCAGAGCAGUGGGUAGACAGAGACUGAUGAGCUGGGGCUGCCUUCCUGGCCAAGGUCAGCUACCUGGAUGUUUCUAUGACUGAGCAAUAAACGUCCAUCCUGCUUAAUCUUUAUUA
Molecule: long non-coding RNA, 370 nt
Filed under: Equus caballus (horse)
Lineage: Eukaryota; Metazoa; Chordata; Mammalia; Perissodactyla; Equidae
Description: lncRNA (ENSECAG00000045282.1)
Source: RNAcentral